This 497-nucleotide ribosomal RNA is filed under the name uncultured bacterium. RNAcentral describes it as "partial 16S ribosomal RNA". It matches the Rfam family "Bacterial small subunit ribosomal RNA", at positions 899 to 1397 of the family's 1533-position model. The record is from RNAcentral.
ACUCAAAUGAAUAGACGGGGGCCCGCACAAGCGGUGGAGUAUGUGGUUUAAUUCGAAGCAACGCGCAGAACCUUACCUGGGCUUGACAUCUGGAGACCGGUGCAGAGAUGUACCUUCCCCUUCGGGGGCUCCAAGACAGGUGCUGCAUGGCUGUCGUCAGCUCGUGUCGUAAGAUGUUGGGUUAAGUCCCGCAACGAGCGCAACCCCUGUCUUUAGUUGCCACCAUUAAGUUGGGAACUCUAAAGAGACUGCCGGUGUUAAACCGGAGGAAGGCGGGGAUGACGUCAAGUCCUCAUGGCCCUUAUGUCCAGGGCUACACACGUACUACAAUGGCAGAAACAAACCGUCGCGAAACCGCAAGGUGGAGCUAAUCGGAAAAACACUGUCUCAGUCCGGAUUGAAGUCUGCAACUCGACUUCAUGAAGUUGGAAUCGCUAGUAAUCGCAGAUCAGCACGCUGCGGUGAAUACGUUCCCGGGCCUUGCACACACCGCCCGU